AUAUCGACCCCUUAUAGGGUUGGGUGAACCCCGCCAGGCCCGAAAGGGAGCAACGGUAGCCCAGUCCCUAUAAGGGGCCGGCCUUUA
This 87-nucleotide signal recognition particle RNA is filed under the name Aquificota bacterium. Its description in RNAcentral is "signal recognition particle sRNA small type". It matches the Rfam family "Bacterial small signal recognition particle RNA". From Rfam's summary of the family: The signal recognition particle (SRP) is a universally conserved ribonucleoprotein involved in the co-translational targeting of proteins to membranes. Archaeal SRP consists of a 7S RNA and homologues of the eukaryotic SRP19 and SRP54 proteins. Lineage: Bacteria; Pseudomonadati; Aquificota. The record is from RNAcentral.